RNAcentral lists this ribosomal RNA (493 nucleotides) under Teleopsis sp. Sabah 2. Its description in RNAcentral is "partial 16S ribosomal RNA". The stretch from base 255 to 413 matches the Rfam family "Bacterial large subunit ribosomal RNA", at positions 2473 to 2632 of the family's 2925-position model. The record is from RNAcentral. Lineage: Eukaryota; Metazoa; Arthropoda; Insecta; Diptera; Diopsidae.
GUUUCAUUUAAUUUUUUUUUAGAAUUUUAUUUUUUAGUUAAAAAGCUAAAAUAAUUUCAAAAGACGAGAAGACCCUAUAAAUCUUAAUUAUUUCAAUUUAUUUUAAUUUUUUUUGAAAAAUUUAGUUUUAAUUAAUUGAAUAAUUUUAUUGGGGUGAUAUUAAAAUUUAAUAAACUUUUAAUGAUUUAUGAUAUAUCAUUUAUUUAUGAUUAAUUGAUCCAUUUUUAGUGAUUAGAAAAUUAAGUUACUUUAGGGAUAACAGCGUAAUUUUUUUGGAGAGUUCUUAUCGAUAAAAAAGUUUGCGACCUCGAUGUUGGAUUAAGAUUCUUAUUUAAAUGUAGAAGUUUAAAUAUCAAGUCUGUUCGACUUUUAUAUCUUACAUGAUCUGAGUUCAAACCGGCGUAAGCCAGGUUGGUUUCUAUCUUUGAUAUUUUUAAAUAUUUUAGUACGAAAGGAAUAAAUAUUUGUUUUUUAAAAAUUUAUUUUUAUGAAU